CUUUUAAAGGAUAAUAGUCAUCCAUUGGUUUUAGGCACC
RNAcentral lists this transfer RNA (39 nucleotides) under Gallotia caesaris gomerae. RNAcentral's name for it is "partial tRNA-Leu". RNAcentral also lists the same sequence under 1 other name. The record is from RNAcentral. Lineage: Eukaryota; Metazoa; Chordata; Lepidosauria; Squamata; Lacertidae.